Molecule: ribosomal RNA, 404 nt
Filed under: uncultured bacterium
Lineage: Bacteria
Description: bacterial SSU rRNA
Rfam family: Bacterial small subunit ribosomal RNA
Source: RNAcentral
UUUUGGACAAUGGGCGAAAGCCUGAUCCAGCAAUGCCGCGUGUGGGAAGAAGGCCUUCGGGUUGUAAACCACUUUUGUACGGAACGAAAAGGUCUGCCCUAAUACGGUGGGCCCAUGACGGUACCGUAAGAAUAAGCACCGGCUAACUACGUGCCAGCAGCCGCGGUAAUACGUAGGGUGCGAGCGUUAAUCGGAAUUACUGGGCGUAAAGCGUGCGCAGGCGGUUAUAUAAGACAGUUGUGAAAUCCCCGGGCUCAACCUGGGAAUUGCAUCUGUGACUGUAUAGCUAGAGUACGGUAGGGGGGGAUGGAAUUCCGCGUGUAGCAGCGAAAUGCGUAGAUAUGCGGAGGAACACCGAUGGCGAAGGCAAUCCCCUGGACCUGUACUGACGCUCAUGCACGAAG